This is a long non-coding RNA of Passer domesticus (house sparrow), 1865 nucleotides long. RefSeq lists it as uncharacterized. The record is from RefSeq and is a predicted model, not a curated record. NCBI's taxonomy places the organism in Eukaryota, Metazoa, Chordata, Aves, Passeriformes, Passeridae. The transcript is spliced from 4 exons.
GCAGCUAUACUGUCCUACAACACACGCUUGUGCUUCUUUCCCAUUCCAAGCAACAGCAGUAAAAGUGUAUGCUACACGAUAUACCAGGAUCAUGUCAACACCAAUGGAGAUGGCAAAAUUACAGAAAAGUUGGAAUAUGAGAGGCUGCAAUAUGAAAGGCUGUGUCACAAAAUGUUAGUAUUUAAAAUGUCCCCACAAUGGAUCUGUUCAGAUGGAUGGAACUACCUGUAGUACACCAGCUGCCUAACGUGUAUACAACAAAGCAAGGUGAAGGUGCAACGGGCUGUACCACAGUCACUUUAUCUACUGAAGUUAUAUUCUGUUGUCUAUUCUCUCUCUUAACAAGAUCAUACCUUAAAAAUGACAGUAAUUGAGUAUACGUGAAGAAUUUCUUCAGAGUUUAUUUACCAACAUAAAAGAAGCUUUUUGCACUUCCAGAUAAACAGAGCUAGACUGUAGGGAACCACAGUGACACCAUAACUGUGCUCAGAGGAUUUUGGAUUGAACAAUCUCAGAAGUAAAACAAGCCUAAUGCUCUAGGGGAAUAAUAUUUGAAAACAUUAUUUAACAAAUAAUGUUAAAGUAACAAAUGCUGCCGUCUCCAUUUGAAAGAAAUGUUUUCAUCAGUAAUAGGGCUUCAGUUUGGAACAACACUUUGCACAGACCGCAACAUACAAGUCAGCAAUGCGAGUAGCUGCUGGCAGAGAGUCACCUGUUAUUAAAAAACCUUUCCUGAGAAGCUGCUGAAUUCAUCUUAACCUCUGAGUUACUUUCUCCAUAAACUGCACCUAACAAAGGCAUUCCUGACUCUGGCAGUGAUUCCAUCCAACAUGCCCAUAGAAAUUGUCUGUCUCUCAUUUGGGACUCUUGACCCACUGUAGUGCACUCAUCAUUUAUUUUAUCAGAAAUGGGGGUGCUGAACACAGUUGAAAUAAUACUGAAAUAUCUGGGGGUGGGGGAGGUUUGCAUUAAAGUUGCACAUCAGUUAAUUCUUUUUCUUUUCCUAGAGCAAAUCAGUCAAGAAAAAUGAAGACGCUUCCAAAUUUUUUAUCAAUGUUUUGACAAGUGUUGAGAUCACUCUUUCUCCUCAAUUUUUUCAGUUAGUAUCCCAGAGAAAGGGGAAAAGUUGAAAUACACACCACAAAAGAGGUUUCAGAGAUUUUUUUCCUUCAAUUUGAAGAGGCAGAGCUUUGUUAGUUAAUCCAGUGUUUUUCAAAAUUGUCCCACAAAGAUAAUUUCUCCAUCUCCCUUCUCUUCAACAGAAUGUCUUAAAUGAAAGCCCUGGAAUAAUUUUUAGUUCUUCAAAAUGUUCACUAUAGCUUUGAUCUCAUCAUGGAGAUCUCUCUAUCUCAUGAAAUAUUGACAGUAGACAGCUUCUACACAGCUCAAGCAAAGUGUUUUAAAACAUAUCCAUUUCAGAGGCCUUUAUGAUAACUUCAUUUUCUUAAAAGAAUUUAUGAGAGAGAAAAGUCAAAUGCAAAAAUUUGGAAAGUCAGCGUAGAGAUCCAUCAGAGAUACUUAAAUAAUAUAUUCUGAAGAGGCUAUCAUUGAAAUUUUGCUCAGAGAUUGAAGAGGAAGAUUAUAUUUCUUGUUUAUUUUGGGAGUUUUCUAUACAGUUCCCCAAAUAAGCUGUAUAUUGAAUAAGACUUCCUCAAAAAAAAAUUCAUCCAAGUUGGCUUCUAAGGCCAUGACUUGGAAACCUAUCCAUAUGUGGCUAACUUUAUGCACUGUGCUUUCCUUCCUUUUUUAACCCAUGAAAAAUAUUUAUCUGCUUAGUAUAAAAUCUGCUAAAGCCCAUUUUCCUGGAGGUGAAUACCUUGGAAGUUGCCUGGAUUCUCAUAUGCAUACUGAGUCCUUUGCAAAUA